CCUAAAUUAUUUUAUAUUCUUAUUUAAAUGUAACAUAAUAAUACUACAUUUAUUUACUUUAGUCAUUAAAACGUCACAUAAUAUCAUAAAUAUGUAUAUUAUCACAAAAUGAUAAACGUACGCGCAUUCGUAAUUACAUGUGUGCACAUGUAAACAAAUAUCAAAAGAACCAUUCGAAUUGUGUCUAUAUGUCAAUUUGUCAACAUUCAAUAUAUGUAUGUAUGUAUGUAAAUAAAUAUGUGUACUCAUGCCUUCAUAUAAGAUCUUCGUUGCCACGGACAACGACGAAUGGCCGUAGCUUAUGAUUUUUUUGUGUUCAUGUCAAAGAGCUGUAAGGAAUGUGGAGCGUACGCAAACAAAGAGGCCCAGAUGUCCAACAUAAAAUGUCUUUAAAUUUUAUGCCUUGUUUCUUUAAAAGAUCAAUAGUAAUUAUUCUAAACAUGAUUUAAUAUGUUGGCAGAUAUUAAAAUGCAUUUAAUUAUAUAGAUAACCAAUUAAUACUUCAAUAUUUGUACAUACAUAUUAAGCGCAAAUAUUAUUACGGCGGGAUCACUUGAAGCGGCCCUGUAAAACUCGAUGUGUCGAAAAAUUGAUGGCCGCCUGCGCAAUGCCAAAGCGACGCAACAUUGUGUUGUCGGUAGAAAAUCGGCUUGUCGUAAAUAUGUAUGGAUAUGUAUGAGCAUGCAAACAUAUCGACAUAAAUUUUUGCCAGCCAAAGAAUUUUUGUUGAAAAAUAUUUAAAAUCGACUCAAGGGCUAUGUUGCCAUUUUUGUACCUAGGUUUUUGCGAUGUUGCAAAUUUUCCUUCUGGAUGGAACAUUAGAAAAAUCUUCAAUUUAUGAUUUUUGUCAUCGUCGCGAAAAGACGUUUGUGGACAUGCGUAUGCGCGGGGAGAUGUGUAUGGCGUUGCUUUUAUGAAUGAAGCAACUUUGCCAAGUGAAUGUGCGCUUGCGUUCAUGAAUGAAAAUGUUUUUGUUGUAUUUACUACAAUAUUUGGCUUCGUUGAUUGGCUGCCAUAUUGACUUGUGAUGCUGCUUAUGCGUUUGAGGCGCUCGUUGUUUUUUUUAGAACAAUGCUUUUGAUUUUUUGUGAUGGUUGGCAGAUUUACGUGCACGCAUAUGCAAAUGUAAGUUUGUGUAUUUGUUCAGUGACAUACAAACAUAUGUAUGUAUAUGCAUACAGAGAAAUGCGCGCACAUGUGACAUGACCUUCACUGAUAAGUGAUAAUGAUACUAUUCGAAUUUUUGAAGACAUAUCUACAUAUGUAUGUACACACGUAAAUGCUUAUGUAUAUAGAUAUACAUAUGCAUAUGCAAGUUUAAGUUACGAAAUAUGUAGUUCAUUUUAGUGUUAUACGAAAUGUAUUUAGUAAAUAUAAAAAUAUAAAACAUAUUUUUAUGAAAGUAUGUACAUACAUAUGUAUAUUAUUAUACAAUAUUACAUAAAUAUGUGGGUCCGUUUGAAUUUUUUUUUUACAAAUAUACCUCUGAAAUCGCAUAAUGUUUUCAAUUGUGGAUGCAUUCAUAAGUAUCCGCAAAACGAAUUCCAUGUCAGUUGUAUGUACAUAUGUAUAUAGUAAGCAUAUAAAUGCAUCAACAUAUAAACAAAGAGCCUAACAUGCGUCUAUAAUAGAAAUGUAAACCUCUGAGUAUAUUUUUCAAUUAAUACUCAGCUCUGUUACGAGGCACUGUUAAUAUUUCUCCUUCCGAGCCAGCCGUGGUGAAACUCGCUUAUAGGAUUUUGUUAGUUUUUACAAUUCACACGCUGGUCCGCAAUUGAACCUUCUCUAUAUUUUACAUUCUCUGACUCAGGGCUGUUAUUUGCGUAUUCUUGGCAACUGAGAUAAAUAGCUUAUCAUAAUAAAAAAUCUAGACUCAGUAGCAAAGGCUACUAUAAUGGCGAUUAUUCGCCAGUAGCUUUACACAAUUGAGGUGUUAAUUUAAUGUAUACCUUAGCCAUAAAAACGAGUGGCCGGGUCUGCUAGUGUUUAAUAUUUUGUCUGUGGUGGAUCUUUUGGCGGAAGUGCCCAUAUGUAAAAACUUAACAAACAAACUAUGCAUGGAUGACUCACUUUUGACACUCACCGUCAUCAUGGUUCGGUAUAUACAUAUAUUCAUCACUAGUAAUGACCUCACAGCAACAAUCUACUACACACAUAUACACAAAUUUAAGAUAAGGUUUCGAGAAAUUAACAUAUGUUAAUUGAAAGGAUGUAAGAAUCCACAGAAUCUCGUAUCUAUCAAUAAUACAUGCUAUGUCAUUUAUACUUUAUAAUAAGCGUGUAUCUAUGAAGUUAAAUAUGCAGAAAAGAAAGAAAGAAAAGAAAAAAAAUUGUAACAAUACAAAAUGCAAACAAUUCUACUAUGAUUUUCAUACAUAGUGGUUCUGUUAUAAGACUAAUAAAUAUAUAUAUCUUGAAGUAUAAAAUAAAUCUCAUUAAAUACAAUAAACCCACACAAAAAAAAAUAUAGAAUUUUUCAAGAAAUUCCUCUGUAUAUGAUACCAAUUUAUUCACAUACCUUCCUUCGUUCCUUUCUUUCUACCGAUUGUGCUAAAUUUUUCCCAAAAACUUUCUUCUUUUUCUGCAGCUUUGACAUUAUUACUCAUGUGUGGUGAUUUUGGACGACGUAAUGACAUAAUAAAAAUUGAAAUUUAAUUGAAGUUACCAAUAAGUUUCCAAACAAAUGUAUGUAAAACAAUUAGUGGUACUUUAAAA
Molecule: long non-coding RNA, 2715 nt
Organism: Zeugodacus cucurbitae (melon fly)
Lineage: Eukaryota; Metazoa; Arthropoda; Insecta; Diptera; Tephritidae
Exons: 2
Source: RefSeq, a predicted model, not a curated record